GCAUAUCAAUAAGCGGAGGAAAAAGAAACUAACAAGAUUCCCCUAGUAACGGCGAGUGAAGCGGGAAGAGCACAAAUUUAAAAUCUACCUGGUUUCCAGAUCGAGUUGUAAUUUGAAGAUACGUUUUUGAUGUUCUGGGUUGGACUAAAUCCUUUGGGAUAAGGUAUCAUAGAGGGUGAGAAUCCCGUAUAUACCAACCGUAGGGAUGUUAUUAAAUACGUUUCUAAGAGUCGAGUUGUUUGGGAAUGCAGCUCUAAAUGGGUGGUAAAUUUCACCUAAUGCUAAAUAUAAGCGAGAGACCGAUAGUGAACAAGUACAGUGAUGGAAAGAUGAAAAGAACUUUGAAAAGAGAGUUAAAUAGUACGUGAAAUUGUUGAAAGGGAAACGAUUGAAGUCAGUCAUGCCGGUGGGAAUCAACUUAGGGGAAACUCUAGGUGCACUUCUUCGCUUGGCAGGUCAACGUCGAUUUUGAAUGUCAUAAAAUAAUUGGGGGAAGGUAGCUCCUUCAGGAGUGUUAUAGCCCUUGAUAGAUGUGAUGUUUGGGGUCGAGGAUUGCAACGGAUACCCUCUAGGGCUAGCCGCCUGAUCUCUAAUCGGUGUUGGGUUACGGAUAGCAUGCUGACCGUGAUCUAAUUACUGGUUAAAAGGUUAGAGCGUGCAUAAAUUCGUUAAGAACGUUGACGUAAUGGCUUUAAACGAC
This 700-nucleotide ribosomal RNA is filed under the name uncultured Gigaspora. RNAcentral describes it as "eukaryotic LSU rRNA". It matches the Rfam family "Eukaryotic large subunit ribosomal RNA", at positions 38 to 648 of the family's 3401-position model. The record is from RNAcentral. Lineage: Eukaryota; Fungi; Glomeromycota; Glomeromycetes; Diversisporales; Gigasporaceae.